This is a long non-coding RNA of Prinia subflava (tawny-flanked prinia), 1154 nucleotides long. RefSeq lists it as uncharacterized. The transcript is spliced from 4 exons. The record is from RefSeq and is a predicted model, not a curated record. Lineage: Eukaryota; Metazoa; Chordata; Aves; Passeriformes; Cisticolidae.
GGAAGCUCCCGGUGCCGGCGGGGGCGCGGCCGGGCAGCCUCGGCGGCUCCCCGCGGGGAGGCGGGCGGGCCGUGCCGCCGCUCCGGGGCAGGCAGGCAGGCAGGCACUUACUUUGCCGGAAUGAUUUACUAGCCUGGUGAAAAGUGAAAUAAAAAUCUCACAUGUCGGCAAAACAGGAAAUAUAAGUGCAUGGACAUAACAGCCAGAGGAUGCAGGUCUCCUCCCUAUCCCAUGGGGAAGGGGGCAGUGAGCGAGCAGUUGCCUGGUGCUUAGCUGCCAGCCAGGGUUAAACCACAACAUCAUGUUAACUUUCAGAUCAGCUCUGGAAUAUUUUUUGAGAGUGGUAGCUGCUGCCGAUCCCUGUUUGGAUUGUGUCUGGGGGCAUGAAGAGGCACGAACUGCACGGAACAGUGACUCUGGGCAGUAAAUCAAACUUUGUCAUGGACAAUGAAAACAGGCAACAAACUUCUCUACAUUUUAUAUAUUCUUCAAUCUCAUUGUUGCUGAGCUCUUUCUGCAGUGUGUUUGAACACAAAAGCAGAGCAUUAAUAGAAGACUGAAAAAUAGAAAAUAAACCAUAAGUGGUAUAACCAGGGAAAUAAUUUGAGGGAGAGCCCAAGGAAUACCUGGUUUCAUUCAAUUAAAGAAAAAGCAGGGGAAAGAUCACUUUGUUCAAAAAUAGAUUUUCAAGGAUUUAAAUUCUUCAUAAAAGAACAGGGAAAGAUAGAGCACAGACACAUGUAAAGCUAAAACAUUUAGACAUCUGGCUGUUUCGUAUGAGCCAGAGUUUUGGAAUCACAACAGGCACAGCCUUUUCUUUAGAAAUUCCAGCACUUACACAGUUACUACUUGUAUUGCUUUUCUCAUAAUUUUAUCUCAAGACAUUAUAAUUAAGUAAAUUGCAUAUUGUCAACAUGCUUUAUAGUAAGGUAGCAAUUUUUAAACAAGUAGUAAAGAGGGGAUUAUAAAAAUGAGCUACAAGUCAUGCAGUCAUUGUUCACUCGGUGUUGCUGGAGAAAAUAAAAGCAGCAUAUUCUUUAGCAUUAAUUUUUUCAUUAUUUCCUUUCUUACUGUAACCUAUUAUUUUAAAGAAAGUCAUGUUGACCUAUAAGCAGAAUAUUUAUAAAUGUUGUUGUAAAUAUACUCUUCAUGUG